UGCCAUUUGCAGCAACAUGGAUGCAACUAGAGAUUAUCAUAACUUUUGUUUUUUAAUUCAAUUUGAAGACUAUAAAGUACCCAUUAUGUAUCAGGUGCUGUGCCUGGUAAUGAGGAUACAAAAAUGACAGACAACCUUGAACUCAAGUCGCUCACAAUUUAUGAGGAAGGCAAUUAAGUUCAUAAUUCAUCGAGAAAUUAUAAAAGAAAGCAUGUCAACAGUGGGAUUAAAUGGUGUUCUUCUAUCUGUUUUCCAAGAGUUUUUUAGACUCUGUGGCUAAAGAACUCAUAAAUAAGAGAUGAAAAUGUUCACUUUAACCAUUUUUAUGUAUUGUGAUUAAAUGGGUAUAAACCUCUAGCCAUUAGAGGAAUGAGUGUGGGACUCUUCUUGACCUGAUAGAUGUUGUAUACCCAAGAGGCA
Molecule: long non-coding RNA, 420 nt
Organism: Aethalodelphis obliquidens (Pacific white-sided dolphin)
Lineage: Eukaryota; Metazoa; Chordata; Mammalia; Artiodactyla; Delphinidae
Exons: 3
Source: RefSeq, a predicted model, not a curated record